RNAcentral lists this long non-coding RNA (1218 nucleotides) under Mus spretus (western wild mouse). RNAcentral describes it as "predicted gene 3364 (ENSMSPG00010013502.1)". Lineage: Eukaryota; Metazoa; Chordata; Mammalia; Rodentia; Muridae. The record is from RNAcentral.
AGAUUCUGACCUCUUCCGUCAACACCAUCCAGCUAAUUCACCUGCGUGCCACCAUGAAGCCAGUGAUGCUUACAAAUGGAAACCACAGCCUCUUCCGUGAGCACUUUGGAAAGAGAGAGCAGAAGAUCGGGCUGCCUUUCGGGAAUCAUGAGGCCUUACACAGGAUCCUAGACCUCCAUCGGGAGCUAUUAAAUGGGAUUGAGGUUAGAGGUGGGGCAGGCAUUAGGGGAGGAUCCUGAAUUUACCUCUCUCCUCACAAUAGCUUCUCAGCAUCGAUUGCCUUUUCUCCAGGUUGUGGGGAAGUAGGUGGGGCUCAAAACAUUUUUUUUUUCCUACUCCUGAAAUGUAGAACUUGUAUAUGUAUAUUUAAAGGACCACUGAGCAGUUCUAGAUGGACCAAUCCAAUUUUAUAAUUCAACUUUAUAGGAUGAAUGAUGGAAGAUUACUUUGACUAGCUCUUUGUAGUUCUAUGAAGAAAACCUUAGCACACUGGGUCAGUUCUUGGGUCCGCUGGUAGUUUAGUUACCUGUUCUGUGGUGCAUUUUCUUAAUCCAGUACAUCCAGGAGUGUGCUAGCCUUUCUUUCUCUCUGUGUUUCUUAGCUUGGAAACAAUCUUCCUCCCUUUUGGCACUCAAAAUGGUUUCAUUUACAUCCAGUUUUAUUUACUCAGACAAUAUUGAACUUGACUAUAUUUUGUGCCACAUCUUCUGUUUGGAGCUGGGAAUGAAUACACAAGGAAGUCAAUCAAAGGCAGUUCUAGCCUUGCCCUCACCACAUGCAGUCAAAUGUGGGCUACAACAGUUAAGCAGGCUUGUGACACGAGGAAAAGACUAUGUGACACAGAGCUCAAGAGCCUUUUGGGAGCCCUCAGGGUGUGCUGUUUUCCAGCCUUGCAGUGUUCGGAGCCAGUAGCUUUCUUCAGAGGCAGGGAUGAAGUGGAGCCGGCAUACACUGUGGCAAUCCUCCUCCUCUGAAACUCUGCAGGAUAAGAGAAAUCCUCUCCUCUCUGGACUUUGGGAUGUGGAGAGGUCUUUUCUCUUUGGAAUAGUGUAUGGCCUAUCUGCUCCAUCGCAGCAAGAGUAGCAGGUUGUCCUGGGAAGACAAAAUGUGUUACUUUACUGGGAAGCAGGAGCAGGGAGGAGGCUGACAUUUAUAAAGUAACUAUAUUAGAUACAACAUUUAAGUUGCGUUCCAGACUUUAAAUGUACCCAACUCAGU